UUUAAUCAACAGAAACUCAAAAUAUUAUGUUACCUGAACCAGAUUAAUUAUUUAAGUUGAUUUGACAAAAGAAAAAAUUCUGAUAAAAAAAUCAUAAAAAUACAAUUUUUAACAGUGUAACUGUUUUUAUUCAAGUCACAAGUGAACCAAUAGUUCAUAGGGCCUACCAACAAAUCAAAUUUUUGAGUUAAAUCAACUAGAAAUCGCACUUUAAGGUGGCAAUUGCAGGUUACCACUUUUUACAUUGUAUAAACCGAGCAAAACGCAAUGCGCAGGGCAUGUCCAAGAAAAUCCAUCGAUCUCCAAAACAGGAGGCCUGAUAUUUGGCAUUGUUUUGGUACUCUUGGAAACUGGGACAGUAUGAAUCAGGAAAGCGAAAAAGAUCAUCUAAUAACAGCCAUGUGACGGUUAGAGAGGACGAGAUCUCGCACUCUUGAUUGGCAAACCGAACAGGGUUAGGAUUUCCCCGUCUCAACCCACGGACUUUACAGAGCGGAAAUGGUGCAUUAAAUACUUAACCAACAUUUCCUCCUCCUCUGGCGGUUGGGGUUUUCUCAACACCAACGUCGCUUACACGUAGCCUAGUCUGCAAUAACAGGCUACUGAUGGAAAAACAAUGUUAUUCGAUCAACCUUUAUCCAUUAAACAUGACUGCAACAAUAUGCUGUCGGUGGUAUGACGUGGGUCUAUUAUCAUGGGCUACGUGUGUUGUGCAAUUACGGCUAUCUUUGCACUUUGAGCAAAAUGGAUAGCAGUGGGACUUUCCCAUGACUAUGUGUGUAGUGUGGAACAAACGCCCAUGCAAAUGACAGUGCUAAUCGAUCGGUUUAUAUAGGGAUGCUGCACUGAGCGAGUAGGCGGCAGAAGAGCUUUCUGCAUGUGUCUUAUCAUUCACGGCAGGUGCAUGAGACACAUGAUUCAGCAUCCGCAAUAUGGUACUGGUACCGAAAUGACUCACCGACAACAGAUGAUGUGGACCUGUCGAGAGAAGAGGGGAAAACUAAAGGUCAAAUAAAACCUACUGCUUGACAGAUUUGCAUCACUCAUGGAUGUUAAACUGAGCUCUUGGCUUUGAGAACUGAAUUCCAAGGGUGUCUGCUCAAUAUUCAGCCCACGGAGUUCAGUUCUUAAGUUUGGAUGCUCUUUGCAUCUGUUCUGACCUACGACCUGAACAAACACGCCUGCUACUGGACUGGAAGGUACCGUUUAUUAUGCAAAAUUCUUCAGCCCCGGUCCUCUUCUGCCUUUUUUAAAUCAUAAUGCAGUUCAGUGGAUUCUGUCAGGUUGUGGAUCAUCAUUAGAAAUAAAAUAGAAAACUAUUGUUAUAGUUUUGUAUGGUGAUUUUUUAUUAACUUUUUUUUUUAUUCCACACUUGUUAGUGAAGAUUUGUCAUGUGUUUUUCUUGCCAUAAAUAAGGGUCAUUCGUUACUGUAUAAUGUAUUUAUGUAUAUAUAUAUAUAUAUAUAUAUAUAUAUAUAUAUAUAUAUAUAUACUUUCCAUAUAUUAUAUUUUGACAUGAAACAGUAUCAAUAGGAUGAGUAGUAUGUUGAGAAUAAUGAACCUUAUUCCGAAGUCUUCGCUCUUCUCAGCAGGGUUUUUUGGUUGUCCAUCAAUCACGGUUACAGUCCACAGCUGACAGAGCUUUUCCUGUCUGCUCCCAGGUUGUGGAACCAACCUCCAGUUGAAAUUCGGGAAGCACAGUAUCUUGGAAUUUUUAAAACGCAUUAAAACAUGUAAAAAACAAAACAUAUAUAUAUUUUUAAGCUAGCUUAUUGUUGAUUGUGGUAAUCAUUGCUGGUUUCUUGGUUAUACUUUUUUGUUUGAUUUAUUUUAUAUUUUCUUAUACUGGAAAGUGCUUUGAGAAGCUCUUUUAAAGGCAAUAUAGAAAAUAAAGUUCUCAGAGCUAAACUGUG
Megalobrama amblycephala (Wuchang bream) is the source of this 1913-nucleotide long non-coding RNA. RefSeq lists it as uncharacterized. The transcript is spliced from 2 exons. NCBI's taxonomy places the organism in Eukaryota, Metazoa, Chordata, Actinopteri, Cypriniformes, Xenocyprididae. The record is from RefSeq and is a predicted model, not a curated record.